Molecule: long non-coding RNA, 671 nt
Organism: Ostrea edulis (European flat oyster)
Lineage: Eukaryota; Metazoa; Mollusca; Bivalvia; Ostreida; Ostreidae
Exons: 2
Source: RefSeq, a predicted model, not a curated record
AGUAGCUAGUGCCAUGUUUUUGUUUACAUGUACAUUGUAUAUUGCUCAAUAAAAAAUAGCAUGGUUAAAACAAAAUGAGAUGUGCCUGUAGUGUUGCACAAUUUUGUUUAUUAGAGUUACCCCCCUUUGUACAUUGUUCCGGGUAUGUAAUCCUCUCCGGUUCAUUUUUUAUUCUGUUUACAUGAGGAUAGGAGGCCAUUUUGGCUGAUGUUUUUGUAGUUUCUGCUUGUUCCAAGCAUUGCAUGUGCCUUGUGGGUACACUCCUGCACCAUAUUUGAUGUAGAAUUCUUAAUUUUCAAUAGACUGUGCCAAAACCUGAGGCAAACUGUGUACCAGAAGUGUUCAACAAGUGUUUGCGGCAUGUUUUCCCCAAACUAUGUGUCGGAGAAAAAAGGCAUACGAACAAUGUACUUACGGGAUUGUCACGGAACUAGGCGUAUCAAACUUGCCACAAAUGUACUACAAAUGUUUAGUGCAUGUAACUGUCACAUACGACGUAUAUUUUGAUAAGAAUUUCUAUAAUACAUAUCAUCCCCACGAAACACACAAAUAGAUUUUAGGAUUGAUGUAGUUUCAUCACAUUUUUUAAAAUGGGAUAUAACGAUACACAAUGUACACGUCCGAAUGGAGUACAUCUGUCAACUGUCCUAAUAAAUCUAUACAUAUGAAUA